This 497-nucleotide ribosomal RNA is filed under the name uncultured bacterium. Its description in RNAcentral is "partial 16S ribosomal RNA". It matches the Rfam family "Bacterial small subunit ribosomal RNA", at positions 28 to 507 of the family's 1533-position model. The record is from RNAcentral.
GACGAACGCUGGCGGCGUGCCUAAUACAUGCAAGUAGAACGCUGAAGAGAGGAGCUUGCUCUUCUUGGAUGAGUUGCGAACGGGUGAGUAACGCGUAGGUAACCUGCCUUGUAGCGGGGGAUAACUAUUGGAAACGAUAGCUAAUACCGCAUAACAAUGGAUGACACAUGUCAUUUAUUUGAAAGGGGCAAUUGCUCCACUACAAGAUGGACCUGCGUUGUAUUAGCUAGUAGGUGAGGUAAUGGCUCACCUAGGCGACGAUACAUAACCGACCUGAGAGGGUGAUCGGCCACACUGGGACUGAGACACGGCCCAGACUCCUACGGGAGGCAGCAGUAGGGAAUCUUCGGCAAUGGGGGCAACCCUGACCGAGCAACGCCGCGUGAGUGAAGAAGGUUUUCGGAUCGUAAAGCUCUGUUGUAAGUCAAGAACGGGUGUGAGAGUGGAAAGUUCACACUGUGACGGUAGCUUACCAGAAAGGGACGGCUAACUACGUG